RNAcentral lists this non-coding RNA (29 nucleotides) under Mus musculus (house mouse). The record is from RNAcentral. Lineage: Eukaryota; Metazoa; Chordata; Mammalia; Rodentia; Muridae.
UNCAGUUGUGCUGCCUCUGCCUCAUUCUC